This 814-nucleotide ribosomal RNA is filed under the name uncultured bacterium. RNAcentral's name for it is "bacterial SSU rRNA". It matches the Rfam family "Bacterial small subunit ribosomal RNA", at positions 61 to 859 of the family's 1533-position model. The record is from RNAcentral.
GUCGAGGGGCAGCGGGGGUGCAGGCUUGCCUGCACCUGCCGGCGACCGGCGCACGGGUGAGUAACACGUAUGGAACCUGCCCGCCACAGGGGGAUAACCCGGGGAAACCCGGCCUAAUACCCCAUGCCGCCCGGACCGGGCAUCCGGACCGGGCGAAAGGAGGAAUCCGGUGGCGGCUGGGCAUGCGGCGCAUUAGCUUGACGGCGGGGUAACGGCCCACCGUGGCGACGAUGCGUAGGGGUUCUGAGAGGAAGGCCCCCCACACUGGAACUGAGACACGGUCCAGACUCCUACGGGAGGCAGCAGUGAGGAAUAUUGGUCAAUGGGCGGAAGCCUGAACCAGCCAAGUCGCGUGAGGGAAUAAGGCCCUACGGGUCGUAAACCUCUUUUGCCGGGGAGCAAGGGCCGGGACGAGUCCCGGUCCGGAGAGUACCCGGAGAAAAAGCAUCGGCUAACUCCGUGCCAGCAGCCGCGGUAAUACGGAGGAUGCGAGCGUUAUCCGGAUUUAUUGGGUUUAAAGGGUGCGUAGGCGGGCUUUUAAGUCAGCGGUAAAAAUUCGGGGCUCAACCCCGUCCGGCCGUUGAAACUGGGGGCCUUGAGUGGGCGAGAAGAAGGCGGAAUGCGUGGUGUAGCGGUGAAAUGCAUAGAUAUCACGCAGAACCCCGAUUGCGAAGGCAGCCUUCCGGCGCCCUACUGACGCUGAGGCACGAAAGUGCGGGGAUCGAACAGGAUUAGAUACCCUGGUAGUCCGCACAGUANACGAUGGAUGCCAGCUGNCCGGGCCGAAUGGGGCCUGGGUGGCAAAGCGAAAGCG